AUUGCUUCUCGGCCUUUUGGCUAAGAUCAAGUGUAACAAGAUGCUGUGUAAGACCUGAGUAGAGAAAUAAAUUUUCUAACAAUUAAUGUGUUAAUUAAAUUGAUUUUUUAAACUUUUU
This is a small nuclear RNA of Heterocephalus glaber (naked mole-rat), 118 nucleotides long. Its record names the gene U2. It matches the Rfam family "U2 spliceosomal RNA". Rfam says of the family: U2 is a small nuclear RNA (snRNA) component of the spliceosome (involved in pre-mRNA splicing). Complementary binding between U2 snRNA (in an area lying towards the 5' end but 3' to hairpin I) and the branchpoint sequence (BPS) of the intron results the bulging out of an unpaired adenosine, on the BPS, which initiates a nucleophilic attack at the intronic 5' splice site, thus starting the first of two transesterification reactions that mediate splicing. Lineage: Eukaryota; Metazoa; Chordata; Mammalia; Rodentia; Bathyergidae. The record is from Ensembl.